Molecule: microRNA, 22 nt
Filed under: Gallus gallus (chicken)
Lineage: Eukaryota; Metazoa; Chordata; Aves; Galliformes; Phasianidae
Description: gga-miR-7449-5p
Source: miRBase by way of RNAcentral
AGGUCAUCUAGUCCAACUUCCC